Molecule: ribosomal RNA, 514 nt
Filed under: uncultured bacterium
Lineage: Bacteria
Description: bacterial SSU rRNA
Rfam family: Bacterial small subunit ribosomal RNA
Source: RNAcentral
AGAGUUGAUUCUGGCUCAGGAUGAACGCUAGCGGCAGGCUAACACAUGCAAGUCGAGGGGCAGCGCGGGGUAGCAAUACUCUGGCGGCGACCGGCGAAAGGGUGAGUAACGCGUGAGCAACAUGCCCGGUACUGGAGGAUAGUCGAUGGAAACGUCGCGUAAUACCCCGUAACAACAGGGACCGCAUGAUCCUUGUUUAAGAGAUUUAUCGAUAUCGGAUUGGCUCGCGUUCCAUUAGCUAGUUGGCGGGGUAGCGGCCCGCCAAGGCGACGAUGGAUAGGGGUUCUGAGAGGAAGGUCCCCCACAUUGGAACUGAGACACGGUCCAGACUCCUACGGGAGGCAGCAGUGAGGAAUAUUGGUCAAUGGCCGAGAGGCUGAACCAGCCAUGCCGCGUGCGGGAGGACGGCCCUAUGGGUUGUAAACCGCUUUUUUGUGGGAGCAAUAAGUCUUACGUGUAGGACGAUGAGAGUACCAUGAGAAUAAGCAUCGGCUAACUCCGUGCCAGCCGCUGC